Molecule: long non-coding RNA, 220 nt
Filed under: Lathyrus oleraceus (garden pea)
Lineage: Eukaryota; Viridiplantae; Streptophyta; Magnoliopsida; Fabales; Fabaceae
Description: Pisum sativum (pea) long non-coding RNA (PSAT_LNC039530)
Source: RNAcentral
CAUUUCAUGCAUAAUUUGCAUAAACAAGUUUCUUCUGCCAGAUGUCUUAUCAGUUAUUCUUCUAUGCUUCAGUCAAGCUGACUCAUCGAUACAACACCCGCGCAAAUUAACCGAGAAUCAUGGAGCACUUAGAGCAAGAGAACCAAGAACUGAAGGACGAGAUUGCUCGUCUAACUACUAUGAUGGAGUCUGUUCUAGCUGCUCAGAACCAACCUUCUCC